CCUACGGGUGGCUGCAGUGGGGAAUAUUGGGCAAUGGGCGCAAGCCUGACCCAGCAACGCCGCGUGAAGGAAGAAGGCCCUCGGGUUGUAAACUUCUUUUGUCAGGGACGAAGCAAGUGACGGUACCUGACGAAUAAGCCACGGCUAACUACGUGCCAGCAGCCGCGGUAAUACGUAGGUGGCAAGCGUUAUCCGGAUUUACUGGGUGGAAAGGGCGUGUAGGCGGGGAAGUAAGUCAGAUGGGAAAUUCCAGGGCUCAACCCUGGAACUGCAUUUGAAACUGUUUAUCUUGAGUGAUGGAGAGGCAGGCGGAAUGCCGUGUGUAGCGGUGAAAUGCGUAGAUAUACGGAGGAACACCAGUGGCGAAGGCGGCCUGCUGGACAUUAACUGACGCUGAGGCGCGAAAGCGUGGGGAGCAAACAGGAUUAGAUACCCGGGUAGUC
RNAcentral lists this ribosomal RNA (443 nucleotides) under uncultured bacterium. Its description in RNAcentral is "partial 16S ribosomal RNA". It matches the Rfam family "Bacterial small subunit ribosomal RNA", at positions 338 to 795 of the family's 1533-position model. The record is from RNAcentral.